Molecule: ribosomal RNA, 427 nt
Filed under: uncultured bacterium
Lineage: Bacteria
Description: partial 16S ribosomal RNA
Rfam family: Bacterial small subunit ribosomal RNA
Source: RNAcentral
GUGGGGAAUAUUGGGCAAUGGGGGCAACCCUGACCCAGCGACGCCGCGUGGGUGAAGAAAUCCCUCGGGAUGUAAAGCCCUGUUGUAUGGGAAGAGCAGAAGACGGUACCAUACGAGGAAGCCCCGGAAAACUACGUGCCAGCAGCCGCGGUAAUACGUAGGGGGCAAGCGUUGUCCGGAAUUACUGGGCGUAAAGCGCACGCAGGCUGAAUUAUAAGUCGGUAGUCAAAUACGGAGGCUCAACUUCCGGAUAUCUAUCGAUACUGUAAAUCUAGAGUAUGUGAGAGGGAAGCGGAAUUCCCGGUGUAGCGGUGAAAUGCGUAUAUAUCGGGAGGAACACCAGUGGCGAAGGCGGCUUCCUGGCACAAUACUGACGCUCAUGUGCGAAAGCUAGGGCAGCGAACGGGAUUAGAAACCCGUGUAGUCC